This 372-nucleotide ribosomal RNA is filed under the name uncultured organism. RNAcentral describes it as "bacterial SSU rRNA". It matches the Rfam family "Bacterial small subunit ribosomal RNA", at positions 526 to 896 of the family's 1533-position model. The record is from RNAcentral.
CGGAGGGAGCUAGCGUUGUUCGGAAUUACUGGGCGUAAAGCGCGCGUAGGCGGCUUUGUAAGUUAGAGGUGAAAGCCCGGGGCUCAACCCCGGAACUGCCUUUAAGACUGCAUCGCUUGAAUCCGGGAGAGGUGAGUGGAAUUCCGAGUGUAGAGGUGAAAUUCGUAGAUAUUCGGAAGAACACCAGUGGCGAAGGCGGCUCACUGGACCGGUAUUGACGCUGAUGUGCGAAAGCGUAGGGGAGCAAACAGGAUUAGAUACCCUGGUAGUCCAUGCCGUAAACGAUGAUAACUAGCUGUCGGGGGCCAUGGGCUUUCGGUGGCGCAGCUAACGCAUUAAGUUAUCCGCCUGGGGAGUACGGCCGCAAGGUUA